CUCUAGAGACUAGAAGGCACUAGUUACAGGGAAGGGUAGGUCUUGCUCCCGAUCGACCGAGGAUUGACAGGUUCUGAAAAGCUGAAGCACUAUAUGAGCUCCUGAAGGACUGAGUCUGAAAAUCUGCAGUACCACAUUAUUUGGUCCAUUCCUUUGCUGAGAUGUUAGCAUGUUGCUGAUUUUACAACCAUGAUACAGAAUGAACUUUUGUAUCGGUGUGGAACCGGUUUUAUCAACUCGUUCAUAGUUGACACGCUUGGUGUACCAAACUUUCCUACGUGGUCGAAGAUGGCACCCAAAAUAUUGCUGUUCUGUGUCGGUGCCAUCACACCGAAACGGUUGGCUAUAUGAUAGACGUCCUCUACGAUGGUAAACUGCUAACCCUAUCCUCGUUUUACGCCCGGGUAUAAGACGUCCAGAAAGUGACACAACGAAGUUUGAUCGCGAUUUUUGAGUUUGAUCGCGAUCAGUUAAUUAUUAAUAUUAAUUCAUUAAUUGAUUUUUAAGGUUCAAUUAAUGACUUUCUUGGACUUUGUGAAGGUAAUAAGCAUAUGAAAAGUACUACUAACAGGCAUUUAAAACUGUGCAGAACCAUUGUUUUGGUAGCAAAGAAUUCUAACAUCAGAAAAAAGAAUUAGCUUACUUGCUAUUGUUAUUGUAAAAUUCCCUUUAGAUUCUAUGCUAGUAUCUAUUCGGGUCUUAUCUUUAUCACCUCAUCGAUAGAAAUUUAAUUUUAAAUCCUAAUAACGAAGUUAGAUUUUCAUAGUUUGAAUAAUGAUCCCACAAUUCAAUACCUUGAGAGAACUGUGAUUAGAAACAUAGAUAAAUCCAGAUAUACCAACAGUGACAGUCCUUGGCAAGGCGGAUCGAUUGCAUUUGAACAGCCUGUAACUUCUGUAAGGAAUGGUACCAUGAAGGUUGCAUAGAUAACACUAUGGAGGAUCCAUGCUGCACUAGAAAGUUUUUCUAUGCACCAAAUAUAAAUCUGUAUUGCAUUUGCCAUUUCAAUGAAAAAUUGGUACAACAAUAGAAAUGCAGGCAAAGGGAUCAUAGCUUAACUUUCAAAUACAAACAGAAAAAAAAACUGGAAAAUGUGAGAAGAUAACUGCAGCAAGUGUGACUCGUCGAGGAAAACCAUGUUAGCAGUGCCAGUACCGAGUCUGUUUCACUUUUUCCCACAAGCCGAGCCUGCGAUAAGAAAACCCCUGAUCCAGCUAGUCAGCCAUCUCGAUAUUCGACAAACCAAAAGAAUUGGCAAAAAGACGACAUCAUACUUUUCCUACUUCUGAGGACAACUGUCGCCGAAAGAGAAUACCCCGUCUACAGAUUCGGAAGGUGAAAGUGAGAUCGAAAACUCUGCAGCAACGAAGUGUGUAAGAAGUUGUUAGGCAGAUUGUCUGGCACACAAGGACUAAAAGUCAAUUCAAUAAAUUGCUUCGACACAUGUUACAUACCCAUUCGCUUAAAACGAUUUUAGCUAAUCCGCUGUUAUAGACCACAAUGUGUAAAUGCGUCGGUACCGUGGAGUAAAUACUGCAGUAACCAGAACGGAAAAAAAAAUUGGCGCCAACUCGUAUAUAUCAGAUUUUGGCGCAACGCAUUCAAGAAUGGGGCCCAACACCUUGCAGAGCUGAAGAAAAUUAUAAGAAAGAAUUAGUACAAUUUGUAGAGAGCAAAACAAAUCACGGGAAGGUUUUCUACUUGUGGUGAUGUGUUUCUUGUUCUAGUGCCCAAAGGGAACUAGAUAACCACAGCAAAGGCUAAUAAAUUUAUGGUUGAUAUAAACUAUGACGACGAAGCAGAUAUGGCAGGCGAAAGCGAAACGAUUGCGCUGCUGUCGUUCGUUACUUGCGGCAUCGGUAUUACGGUCAGUAAAGCAUCCGACACAUAGAGGGAUGAUUCAACAAAUACGAAAAACAAACGGCCUUCGGUUCAGUCUUUCAAACCAAAAUAGAAUGCAGUAAUAUACUACGCGGCGUUUAGAAUCUCAGUAACCGAAUAUACUGGAGGCUAUUUCGUGCUUCAAGUCCAAGGGCAUUGCAAAAAUCCUAAGGUAAAAAAAAACUGAUGUAUAUCGGUAUCCUGUAGUACGAGAAGUCUUUGAAGAGGAAAGAGUAAGCCAGUGGCUUAAACUUAAUAAGUUAUUCGAAAAGAAAGACUGAUUUGGACUGUUAUGGCUCAGCGAACGUGAAUUUUGCCACUUAUACUUCAUUCGCGUUCAACUAUGAAUUCCUGCAGCAUCAAGGAGAAUUCAUCAAGGAAUUCCUCGGGACACAAUGAGGACAAUGCAGAAACCGACAAAACAAUCGCAACCAAUAAAUAAGCCAUCAAUGAAGAUGAUUUGUUGAACAUCAUAGGCUCACAGCUCCAAGAUACCGAAAAUUUAACAUGUACAUAUGCUAUUGGUCGUGCUUUUUUACUAUUUACUGUCUAAUUCGGCCGCCAAUUGAUUUUCUGGUGUAACCUUUCGAUUGACUUUUUCUCCCUCGCUCUACGCUUUUAAAAACGUUCGUAUUUUUGUGUUAUAAAUCACAAAACUAGAUGGCGCUGAUGUGCUUCAGUAUUUUGCCGUGCUUGACGUGUGAAACCGUGUUCCAAUAUUUGUUAACUGUUAUACAUUCUUAUUGAAAAGGGAGAUUAAAUCGAAUGAUUUGAUGUCUACUGUUCAGUGUUUUCAUUCUUUAGUGUGUUGUUUAAGUGAAACACAUUAACUGGAUUAUUUUUGUGUGGAAUGAGUGAUCUUGUGAUCAGCUAUGCCAGCUGACAAAUCCAAAAUCUAUUACAUUUGCUUUCCAUCAUGCAAAUCUAUUACUCAUUGUGAGGAUGCUGAACGAACAGAAAGUUUACAAAUGACACAAAAAUCACAUGGGUUGGAAUACCAUCACCUCAUUCUGCUACUCUUUAUCGGUUCAUCAUAUCCUGUCAGUGCUGUACUGACAAGUGCAACAUAUGUUGUGUUACCAACUGGAUGGAUUGGAAUACCUCACAUCAUUCAUAUACUCUUUGCUUGCUCAUCUCAUCCGACACAUAUCUUCGCCUCGCCCGUCGCCCCUUUCUCGCUUCACCCGCCAACACAUGUCUUCGCCUUGUCCGUCACUCCGUCUUCGCCUUGUCCGUCUUCGCCUCGCCUGUCACCGCGUCUUCGCCUCGCCUGUCACCCCGUCUUCGCCUCGCCUGUCACCCCGUCUUCGCUUCGCACGUCGCUCCGUCAUCGCCUCUUAGUCGCCCCGUCAUCUUCUUUGUCAUCAUCAUCAUCUUUGUGGUAUCGUUGUAUUUUGUAAUGUGCAAUUAUGUAGUGUUAAUUAACCCGUUGGCUGCCACCCACUUUGAUCCCCUUUUUUUUUAAAGCUUGUUAGGGUCCGGCAGCGCUGUUCUGCCCAAUGGUCUAUAUGCCAUGGGUGGGACAGUUGCACAAGCCGUGUGGCUCAAAGUCGAUCGUCGAGGCAAUGCACCAGUAGGGACUUCCCUCUUCUAGAUGUGGUGGUGGUUGCCUGGGGUGUGCAUUCCCAUAACGGCUUCCAUCAUCAUAUCAGCCCGGACUUGUCUUCGGACAGGUCUCCCUUGGUCGCUAUCCUUUCGAUAGUGAUGUAGCUAGUGUAGAUUUAGUGGCGUGGCAGCCAACGGGUUAGUUUUAUUUAUGUAUGUUUUGU
This 3650-nucleotide long non-coding RNA is filed under the name Daphnia magna. RNAcentral's name for it is "uncharacterized LOC116931547, transcript variant X7". The record is from RNAcentral. Lineage: Eukaryota; Metazoa; Arthropoda; Branchiopoda; Diplostraca; Daphniidae.